Thunnus maccoyii (southern bluefin tuna) is the source of this 735-nucleotide long non-coding RNA. RefSeq lists it as uncharacterized. Lineage: Eukaryota; Metazoa; Chordata; Actinopteri; Scombriformes; Scombridae. The record is from RefSeq and is a predicted model, not a curated record. The transcript is spliced from 2 exons.
CAGGCUACAUCAGUCGAGGCUGCACUCAACCGGCAGAAGUGGAUUUAAUCUUGAAAAUGCUUAUUUCUGCUGCUCGUAGCUCUCAUCAUAAAGGGCUUCAUCAUAUCGUUCUCUCCUCCAGUCGAUGAGGAGACGACAAACUACGACAGGAACAGAAAGACGACAAGACACAUCCUGAAACAGACUCAACAGAACUGGCCGACAUGGUGAAGAGCAUUUCACAGACGGACCAACUGAGUGAUCGACUGGCACUUUGCACUGUGCAGAACCAACGGACCUGAGUCUGUCAGAUCAUACAGACACUGUCUCGUCCAAUCACAUUACUGUCACUAUUCAUUCACAUUACUGUUCGUUCCAGUUGUGAGAUAUUUAAACAUCUACAAAACCUGAUUGGCUCAUAAGUAUUACUGCUUCAGCGAGGCUGAGUCCUUUUAUAAACUCACAUCCUAGCCUUUCUAUUGGUGACAUUUUCCCAGCAUGAUAUUCACUCUCACCUUUCACUCACAUAUAGCUCCAUUAACUCUGUAGCUCUGUUAGCUCUGUUAGCUCUAUUAGCUCUGUUAGCUCUGUCAGCUCUGUUAGCUCCAUUAGCACCGUUAGCUCUGUUAGCUCCGUUAGCUCUGUUAACUCCAGUCAGAUCUCAAAAGCCUGAAAGAAGAAACUUGAACAAAUAGCGAUAACGCCUUAAUGUCAGCUCCGUUUUGGGGUUAAAAAUUAAAAACUGACAAACUUAAA